This 59-nucleotide ribosomal RNA is filed under the name Ruyongia patagonica. RNAcentral describes it as "Wickerhamomyces patagonicus partial 28S ribosomal RNA". The record is from RNAcentral. Lineage: Eukaryota; Fungi; Ascomycota; Saccharomycetes; Phaffomycetales; Wickerhamomycetaceae.
AUCUCCAUAAAGUUUGACCUCAAAUCAGGUAGGACUACCCGCUGAACUUAAGCAUAUCA